GAUGAAGAACGCAGCGAAAUGCGAUAAGUAAUGUGAGUUGCAGAAUUCAGUGAAUCAUCGAAUCUUUGAACGCACAUUGCGCCCGCCAGUAUUCUGGCGGGCAUGCCUGUUCGAGCGUCAUUUCAACCCUCAAGCCCCCGGGCUUGGUGUUGGGGAUCGGCGUGCCCUCGCGGCGCGCCGUCCCCUAAAUCUAGUGGCGGUCUCGCUGUAGCUUCCUCUGCGUAGUAGCAACACUCGCACUGGAUCGCAGCGCGGCCACGCCGUUAAACCCCCCACUUCUGAAAGUUUGACCUCGGAUCAGGUAGGAAUACCCGCUGAACUUAAGCAUAUCAAUAAGCGGAGGA
This 344-nucleotide unclassified non-coding RNA is filed under the name soil metagenome. RNAcentral's name for it is "partial contains 5.8S ribosomal RNA, internal transcribed spacer 2, and large subunit ribosomal RNA". The stretch from base 1 to 120 matches the Rfam family "5.8S ribosomal RNA", at positions 35 to 154 of the family's 154-position model. The record is from RNAcentral.